AUGUUUUGGUCCAAGAUGCCAUCAAUCUUCAUCUUUCUUUUCCUCCUUUCAGGAAUGAGUAUCAUCCAGUGCUCAUUGGCAGCGUGGACCCAUCCAACUGGGGACCAGAUCAUCUCUCCUCCUGUUGUAAACUGAAUGGAGUGGGGGUUACCUGGUUUCAUCACUGUAUGUGGGAACCUGUCAAUCUUCUCAUGCAGGAUAUCUGGACAUCUGGUUUUUGACCCCUGUUUACCUCAAUGCUUGCUUCCUCCUCCACAUUUGAUCAUCAGAGUAGCCAGAGGCAAGACACCAUUGCUUGGCAGACUGUGCAGGGGACAGAAGGAGGGGAGAAACCAGAGAAUUUACUGCCUGCUUUGGAGUCAGCUCCAAAAGUGAGCCAUAGCAGCCUGUGCCUUAAUGUAUGAAGCAAUGAACCUUAGGAGUUGGUAGAUUUCUGAAGAUCAAAGAAGUUGGCAUGUCCUUAACCAUAUCCUGCCCUGAAGAUCAGUUUCAGUUCCAUGUGGAGAUGAGACACCAUGUCCACAGAAGCUAAAUGCCACCGUAUCCUUGUUAGUUAACCUUGUUCU
RNAcentral lists this long non-coding RNA (566 nucleotides) under Monodelphis domestica (gray short-tailed opossum). RNAcentral's name for it is "lncRNA (ENSMODG00000030154.2)". Lineage: Eukaryota; Metazoa; Chordata; Mammalia; Didelphimorphia; Didelphidae. The record is from RNAcentral.